Long non-coding RNA from Triticum dicoccoides, 495 nucleotides. RefSeq lists it as uncharacterized. The record is from RefSeq and is a predicted model, not a curated record. The transcript has 3 exons. Lineage: Eukaryota; Viridiplantae; Streptophyta; Magnoliopsida; Poales; Poaceae.
CAUCUGGGUACUGUUUAUGAAUUGAUAGCGCACCUUGCUUAAAUCCUACUAACAAUUUUCUCAAGAAUUCAUACUAACAAGUGUCUUUGCUUUUUGUUUGAUGCAUUUAACAUGUUCAGGAAACAUGUUUCAAGGGCCUUGUUUGUCGAUCUGGAGCCCACUGUUAGUAGAUUAUGGCAGUAAAUCAUAAUAGGUCAUGUUGUUGGACGAGGGCGGGCUAGCGGAGGGCAUGUCGGCGGACGACGUGGAGGUCGUGUUCGGCUCCAUCGGCCGCAUUGCCGGCAUCGAGUUCGUGCGCACCAGCGGCCCUAGCUUCGCCUACGUCGGCUUCCACUGCCCCUCCCACAAGGUCAUGACGAAGCUCUCCACCUUGUUGUGGGUGCUGAUGGUUCCCCUGUCUUGGUUUCUUGGAAUGGCGAUUCAAGAAGGGGCAUCAUCGUGUGGAUGGACCAUAGGGCUCUUGACCAAGUCGAGUGAAUUAAUUCUCACAGUUCA